AUUGAACGCUGGCGGCAUGCUUUACACAUGCAAGUCGAACGGCAACAGGCCUUCGGGCGCUGACGAGUGGCGAACGGGUGAGUAAUGCAUCGGAACGUGCCCAGAGGUGGGGGAUAACGCAGCGAAAGCUGUGCUAAUACCGCAUAUUAUCUGAGGAUGAAAGCGGGGGACUAAGCAGCAAUGUUUGGCCUCGCGCCUUUGGAGCGGCCGAUGUCAGAUUAGGUAGUUGGUGGGGUAAAGGCCUACCAAGCCGACGAUCUGUAGCUGGUCUGAGAGGACGACCAGCCACACUGGGACUGAGACACGGCCCAGACUCCUACGGGAGGCAGCAGUGGGGAAUUUUGGACAAUGGGCGCAAGCCUGAUCCAGCAAUGCCGCGUGCAGGAAGAAGGCCUUGGUUGUAACUGCUUUGUACGGUAACGAAAGGACUCUGGUUAAUACCUGGGCGUCAUGACGGUACCGUAAGAAUAAGACACCGGCU
RNAcentral lists this ribosomal RNA (481 nucleotides) under uncultured bacterium. Its description in RNAcentral is "bacterial SSU rRNA". It matches the Rfam family "Bacterial small subunit ribosomal RNA", at positions 30 to 498 of the family's 1533-position model. The record is from RNAcentral.